CCUACGGGUGGCAGCAGUGAGGAAUAUUGGUCAAUGGACGCAAGUCUGAACCAGCCAUGCCGCGUGCAGGAAGACGGCUCUAUGAGUUGUAAACUUCUUUUGUACGAGGGUAAACGCAGAGACGUGUAUCGGUCUGAAAGUAUCUUACGAAUAAGGAUCGGCUAACUCCGUGCCAGCAGCCGCGGUAAUACGGAGGAUUCAAGCGUUAUCCGGAUUUAUUGGGUUUAAAGGGUGCGUAGGCGGGCGUUUAAGUUAGAGGUGAAAUUCGGUGGAUCAACUAUAGAAUUGCCGUUGAUACUGGGCGGAUUGAGUGUGUUUGAGGCAGGCGGAAUGUGUGGUGUAGCAGUGAAAUGCUUAGAGAUCAUGCAGAACCCCGAUUGCGAAGGCAGCCUGCCAAGCCAUUACUGACGCUGAUGCACGAAAGCGUGGGGAGCAAACAGGAUUAGAUACCCGAGUAGUC
RNAcentral lists this ribosomal RNA (460 nucleotides) under uncultured bacterium. RNAcentral's name for it is "partial 16S ribosomal RNA". It matches the Rfam family "Bacterial small subunit ribosomal RNA", at positions 338 to 795 of the family's 1533-position model. The record is from RNAcentral.